RNAcentral lists this ribosomal RNA (460 nucleotides) under uncultured bacterium. Its description in RNAcentral is "partial 16S ribosomal RNA". It matches the Rfam family "Bacterial small subunit ribosomal RNA", at positions 338 to 795 of the family's 1533-position model. The record is from RNAcentral.
CCUACGGGUGGCAGCAGUGAGGAAUAUUGGUCAAUGGGCGGGAGCCUGAACCAGCCAAGUCGCGUGAGGGAAGACGGUCCUAUGGAUUGUAAACCUCUUUAGGCGGGGAGCAAUGCCGGGCACGCGUGCCCGGAGGGAGAGUACCCGCAGAAUAAGCAUCGGCUAACCCCGGUGCAGCAGCCGCGGUAAUACGGAGGAUGCGAGCGUUAUCCGGAAUUAUUGGGUUUAAAGGGUGCGUAGGCGGAUUUUUAAGUCAGCGGUAAAAAGGCCGGGCUAAACCCGGGAGUGCCGUUGAAACUGGGGAUCUUGAGUGGGCGAGAGGUAUGCGGAAUGCGUGGUGUAGCGGUGAAAUGCAUAGAUAGCACGAAGAACUCCGAUUGCGAAGGCAGCAGACCGGCGCCCGACUGACGCUGAGGCACGAAAGCGUGGGGAUCGAACAGGAUUAGAUACCCGAGUAGUC